This 279-nucleotide ribosomal RNA is filed under the name uncultured bacterium. RNAcentral describes it as "partial 16S ribosomal RNA". It matches the Rfam family "Bacterial small subunit ribosomal RNA", at positions 494 to 772 of the family's 1533-position model. The record is from RNAcentral.
CGGCUAACUUCGUGCCAGCAGCCGCGGUAAGACGAGGGAUCCUAGCGUUGUUCGGAAUUAUUGGGCGUAAAGCGGGUGUAGGUGGACUUAUAAGUCAGGUGUGAAAUCCCAGGGCUCAACCCUGGAAGUGCACUUGAUACUGCAAGUCUUGAGUGUGGUAGAGGCUAUUAGAAUUCUUGGUGUAGUGGUGAAAUACGUAGAUAUCAAGAGGAAUACCGGAGGCGAAGGCGGAUAGCUGGGCCAACACUGACACUGAGACCCGAAAGCGUGGGGAUCAAA